AAGAUUAAGCCAUGCAUGUCUAAGUAUAAGCAAAUUGUACGGUGAAACUGCGAAUGGCUCAUUAAAUCAGUUAUAGUUUAUUCGAUAGUACCUUACUACAUGGAUACCUGUGGUAAUGCUAGAGCUAAUACAUGCUUAAAACCUCGACUUGGGAAGAGGUGUAUUUAUUAGAUAAAAACCAAUGCCCUUCGGGGCUUUCUGGUGAUUCAUAAUAACUUGUCGAAUCGCAU
RNAcentral lists this ribosomal RNA (230 nucleotides) under uncultured fungus. Its description in RNAcentral is "partial 18S ribosomal RNA". It matches the Rfam family "Eukaryotic small subunit ribosomal RNA", at positions 40 to 274 of the family's 1831-position model. Lineage: Eukaryota; Fungi. The record is from RNAcentral.